CCUACGGGUGGCAGCAGUGGGGGAUAUUGCACAAUGCGGGGAACACUGAUGCAGCGACGCCGCGUGAAUGACGAAGCCCCUCGGCGCGUAAAGCCCUGUCAGCAGGGAAGAAAAUGACGGUAACUGAAGACGAAUCCACGGCUAACUACGUGCCAGCAGCCGCGGUCAUACGUAGGGGGAACGCGUUAUCCGGAUUUACUGGGUGUAAAGGGGGCGUAGACGGCGGUGCAAGCCAGGAGUGAAAGCCGGGGGCUCAACCCCGGGACGGCUGGUGGUACUGCGUGGCUGGAGUGCAGGCGGGGAUGGCGGAAUUCCUGGUGUAGCGGUGAAAUGCGUAGAUAUCAGGAGGAACACCGUUGGCGAAGGCGGCCAGCUGGAUUGCAACUGACGUUGAGGUCCGAAAGCGUGGGGAGCAAACAGGAUUAGAUACCCGAGUAGUC
This 440-nucleotide ribosomal RNA is filed under the name uncultured bacterium. RNAcentral's name for it is "partial 16S ribosomal RNA". It matches the Rfam family "Bacterial small subunit ribosomal RNA", at positions 338 to 795 of the family's 1533-position model. The record is from RNAcentral.